CAGGUAUGAAGUUAUGUUUGACGAAGACGACGUUAGCAAGGUUACCCUUCCGGCUUGGCCUGGGCAGGGUUAUGGACGCCAUCGUUUAUCUUUAGGACUCUUAGUCCAAUUUGUAUCUUGUCCGUACUCGGAUGUAUUCGCUCUUAUGUAUGAUUUGGAUCUUUGUAUGUAUCUAUUUGUAUCUUGACUCGUUGGAGUCGUUGUUGUAAUA
Non-coding RNA from Lolium perenne, 211 nucleotides. NCBI's taxonomy places the organism in Eukaryota, Viridiplantae, Streptophyta, Magnoliopsida, Poales, Poaceae. The record is from RefSeq and is a predicted model, not a curated record.